CCCGCUGAGUUUAAGCAUAUCAAUAAGCGGAGGAAAAGAAACUAACAGGGAUUCCCUUAGUCACGGCGAGCGAACCGGGAAAAGCCCAGCUUAAAAUAUGACGUCUUUGGCGUUCGAAUUGUAGUCUGGAGAAGCGUCCUCAGCGACGGACCAGGCCCAAGUUCCCUGGAAAGGGGCACCAGAGAGGGUGAGAGCCCUGUCGUGCCCGGACCUUGUUGCACCACGAGGCGCUGUCUACGAGUCGGGUUGUUUGGGAAUGCAGCCCCAAUCAGGCGGUAAAUUCUGUCCAAGGCUAAAUAUGGGCGAGAGACCGAUAGCGAACAAGUACCGCGAGGUAAAGAUGAAAAGGACUUUGAAAAGAGAGUUAAAGAGUGCUUGAAAUUGUCGGGAGGGAAGCGGAUGGGGGCCGGCGAUUCGUCCCGGUCGGAUGCGGAAUGGAGCAAUCCGGUUCGCCGAUAGAUUCGUGCAGUGGACCAACACAGAUUAAGGUGGUGACCUAAGCCCGGGCUUUUGUUACGCCCGCAGAGACGUCGCUGCCUUAAUCGUGGUCUGCAGCACACGCCUCACAGAGUGCCUCGGCAUCUGCGUGCUCAGGGUGUCGGGCUGUGGGCUCCCCAUUCGACCCGUCUUGAAACACGG
RNAcentral lists this non-coding RNA (639 nucleotides) under Brassica napus (rape). Its description in RNAcentral is "Eukaryotic large subunit ribosomal RNA". It matches the Rfam family "Eukaryotic large subunit ribosomal RNA", at positions 24 to 664 of the family's 3401-position model. Lineage: Eukaryota; Viridiplantae; Streptophyta; Magnoliopsida; Brassicales; Brassicaceae. The record is from Rfam by way of RNAcentral.